UCCUGAGUAGCUCAGUCGGUUAAGCAUCUGACUUUGGCUCAGGUCAUAAUCUCUUGAUUUGUGAGUUGGAGCCCCACUUCAGGGU
Molecule: transfer RNA, 85 nt
Filed under: Felis catus (domestic cat)
Lineage: Eukaryota; Metazoa; Chordata; Mammalia; Carnivora; Felidae
Rfam family: tRNA
About the family: Transfer RNA (tRNA) molecules are approximately 80 nucleotides in length. Their secondary structure includes four short double-helical elements and three loops (D, anti-codon, and T loops).
Source: Rfam by way of RNAcentral